RNAcentral lists this ribosomal RNA (136 nucleotides) under Methylobacterium radiotolerans. RNAcentral's name for it is "partial 16S ribosomal RNA". It matches the Rfam family "Bacterial small subunit ribosomal RNA", at positions 1 to 146 of the family's 1533-position model. Lineage: Bacteria; Pseudomonadati; Pseudomonadota; Alphaproteobacteria; Hyphomicrobiales; Methylobacteriaceae. The record is from RNAcentral.
UUCAACGUGAGAGUUUGAUCCUGGCUCAGAGCGAACGCUGGCGGCAGGCUUAACACAUGCAAGUCGAGCGGGCCCUUCGGGGUCAGCGGCGGACGGGUGAGUAACGCGAGGAGAACGUCCCUGAGCAAUGGAAUAA